This 2362-nucleotide ribosomal RNA is filed under the name Escherichia coli. RNAcentral describes it as "bacterial LSU rRNA". It matches the Rfam family "Bacterial large subunit ribosomal RNA", at positions 465 to 2812 of the family's 2925-position model. The record is from RNAcentral. Lineage: Bacteria; Pseudomonadati; Pseudomonadota; Gammaproteobacteria; Enterobacterales; Enterobacteriaceae.
GUGAAAUACUCCUGACUGACCGAUAGUGAACCAGUACCGUGAGGGAAAGGCGAAAAGAACCCCGGCGAGGGGAGUGAAAAAGAACCUGAAACCGUGUACGUACAAGCAGUGGGAGCCUCUUUUAUGGGGUGACUGCGUACCUUUUGUAUAAUGGGUCAGCGACUUAUAUUCUGUAGCAAGGUUAACCGAAUAGGGGAGCCGAAGGGAAACCGAGUCUUAACUGGGCGUUAAGUUGCAGGGUAUAGACCCGAAACCCGGUGAUCUAGCCAUGGGCAGGUUGAAGGUUGGGUAACACUAACUGGAGGACCGAACCGACUAAUGUUGAAAAAUUAGCGGAUGACUUGUGGCUGGGGGUGAAAGGCCAAUCAAACCGGGAGAUAGCUGGUUCUCCCCGAAAGCUAUUUAGGUAGCGCCUCGUGAAUUCAUCUCCGGGGGUAGAGCACUGUUUCGGCAAGGGGGUCAUCCCGACUUACCAACCCGAUGCAAACUGCGAAUACCGGAGAAUGUUAUCACGGGAGACACACGGCGGGUGCUAACGUCCGUCGUGAAGAGGGAAACAACCCAGACCGCCAGCUAAGGUCCCAAAGUCAUGGUUAAGUGGGAAACGAUGUGGGAAGGCCCAGACAGCCAGGAUGUUGGCUUAGAAGCAGCCAUCAUUUAAAGAAAGCGUAAUAGCUCACUGGUCGAGUCGGCCUGCGCGGAAGAUGUAACGGGGCUAAACCAUGCACCGAAGCUGCGGCAGCGACGCUUAUGCGUUGUUGGGUAGGGGAGCGUUCUGUAAGCCUGUGAAGGUGUGCUGUGAGGCAUGCUGGAGGUAUCAGAAGUGCGAAUGCUGACAUAAGUAACGAUAAAGCGGGUGAAAAGCCCGCUCGCCGGAAGACCAAGGGUUCCUGUCCAACGUUAAUCGGGGCAGGGUGAGUCGACCCCUAAGGCGAGGCCGAAAGGCGUAGUCGAUGGGAAACAGGUUAAUAUUCCUGUACUUGGUGUUACUGCGAAGGGGGGACGGAGAAGGCUAUGUUGGCCGGGCGACGGUUGUCCCGGUUUAAGCGUGUAGGCUGGUUUUCCAGGCAAAUCCGGAAAAUCAAGGCUGAGGCGUGAUGACGAGGCACUACGGUGCUGAAGCAACAAAUGCCCUGCUUCCAGGAAAAGCCUCUAAGCAUCAGGUAACAUCAAAUCGUACCCCAAACCGACACAGGUGGUCAGGUAGAGAAUACCAAGGCGCUUGAGAGAACUCGGGUGAAGGAACUAGGCAAAAUGGUGCCGUAACUUCGGGAGAAGGCACGCUGAUAUGUAGGUGAAGUCCCUUGCGGAUGGAGCUGAAAUCAGUCGAAGAUACCAGCUGGCUGCAACUGUUUAUUAAAAACACAGCACUGUGCAAACACGAAAGUGGACGUAUACGGUGUGACGCCUGCCCGGUGCCGGAAGGUUAAUUGAUGGGGUCAGCGCAAGCGAAGCUCUUGAUCGAAGCCCCGGUAAACGGCGGCCGUAACUAUAACGGUCCUAAGGUAGCGAAAUUCCUUGUCGGGUAAGUUCCGACCUGCACGAAUGGCGUAAUGAUGGCCAGGCUGUCUCCACCCGAGACUCAGUGAAAUUGAACUCGCUGUGAAGAUGCAGUGUACCCGCGGCAAGACGGAAAGACCCCGUGAACCUUUACUAUAGCUUGACACUGAACAUUGAGCCUUGAUGUGUAGGAUAGGUGGGAGGCUUUGAAGUGUGGACGCCAGUCUGCAUGGAGCCGACCUUGAAAUACCACCCUUUAAUGUUUGAUGUUCUAACGUUGACCCGUAAUCCGGGUUGCGGACAGUGUCUGGUGGGUAGUUUGACUGGGGCGGUCUCCUCCUAAAGAGUAACGGAGGAGCACGAAGGUUGGCUAAUCCUGGUCGGACAUCAGGAGGUUAGUGCAAUGGCAUAAGCCAGCUUGACUGCGAGCGUGACGGCGCGAGCAGGUGCGAAAGCAGGUCAUAGUGAUCCGGUGGUUCUGAAUGGAAGGGCCAUCGCUCAACGGAUAAAAGGUACUCCGGGGAUAACAGGCUGAUACCGCCCAAGAGUUCAUAUCGACGGCGGUGUUUGGCACCUCGAUGUCGGCUCAUCACAUCCUGGGGCUGAAGUAGGUCCCAAGGGUAUGGCUGUUCGCCAUUUAAAGUGGUACGCGAGCUGGGUUUAGAACGUCGUGAGACAGUUCGGUCCCUAUCUGCCGUGGGCGCUGGAGAACUGAGGGGGGCUGCUCCUAGUACGAGAGGACCGGAGUGGACGCAUCACUGGUGUUCGGGUUGUCAUGCCAAUGGCACUGCCCGGUAGCUAAAUGCGGAAGAGAUAAGUGCUGAAAGCAUCUAAGCACGAAACUUGCCCCGAGAUGAGUUCU